CUGCCACCAUUAAUUUGUACUUUUUCAAACUCCUUGGCAUGCUUCCGGAGCAGGUCACCCCUGCUUUUCCGCCCCUUGCAGUCCCCCAGGUUCAAAUUUUCACCUCAAGCCAUUCCUCUUGCAUUCUUAUGAUCCAUACGAAGGUUUUCUUGUUUAUGCGCCGGAAGCAAUGCCUCAACCUUUUGCGAAACAAUCUUCUAUAGAUUUCUCUGCGUGCUCUGAGGGUACGGCGAGGCAAACGAUGAUGGCAUCACAGGAAACGGACGCAAAUGGGAAAUCGGGGAUAGAGUAUAGGUUAUAUAUAUAUGUCACUCAGAUGGAAGAAAGCCGUUAGUUUGAAACACAAAUACGAAGACAUCCUAUGGAUAUCAAGUAUAUAUAGUACUAGUA
Molecule: small RNA, 390 nt
Filed under: Histoplasma capsulatum
Lineage: Eukaryota; Fungi; Ascomycota; Eurotiomycetes; Onygenales; Ajellomycetaceae
Also listed under: 1 other name
Description: hypothetical RNA
Source: RNAcentral